ACCCCCAUGUCCCCCGCAGCUGGGGGACACGCGGGCUGCGGACGAGGGGGAGCYGCUCGCCCCGCGCCGAGGGUGCCAGGGGUGCCGGCGCGUCCCCGUCCCAUCUCGUCCCGCUGACAGGUGGCCCUGGCGCGGUGACAGCGGCGGCUAUUUUCGCGGUGACCUCUGCGAGCGCCGCGGCCGGGGGGCCAGGCCGGGAGCCUCCUUCCCUGCCGCCGCCGCCGCCGCCGCAUUCCCGGAGCUGCCGGAGAGUCCGGCGUCACCCGAAGCUGGCUGUGCCCCUGCCGGGCCCCGUCCUUCCUCGUCCCUCGCGGGCGCGCGUCGGAGCGUGGGGGGGUAUUUUUAGACUUCCUUCCGGGCGCGCGRUCCAACGUCCCGGAGCGCGGCGGCGGGAGCCCGGUGCGGAGCCGGUGGCGUCGGCACCCCGUCUCUCAACGCCGCCGGUCACCCCUGCACUCGGAGCGCGUCCCCGGUUCCUGUGAGCUUCCAUUGAAAGCCGAAUUGCUUCCUGGCCUCGCGGCUGCCAGCGGCCUCCGGCUCCCGGAGCCGCUGCCGCCUCCGGGACCUGGGCCGGCACCCCCAGCCGGCGCAGGGGCAGGAGGGGGGCAUCGACCCUGGGGCGCGCGCGGUGUCCCCGCUUGCCCGUGCCUCGGUUUCCCUCCGGCGCGCAGCGGGGGGCCGCGGGGCUGCUGCAGGACCGUUGCCGCCGCCUCACCCGCGCUGCCUCUGCCUCCGCAGGUUUCAGAAGCACGUGCACACCUACCGCAUCCUGCCGGACGAGGAGGAGUUCCUGGCCGUGCAGACCUCGCAGGGCGUGCAGGUGAGGCGCUUCAAGACCCUGAGCGAGCUCAUCGCCCUGUACCUGCAGCCCAACCAGGGGCUGGUCUGCACCUUGCUCUUCCCCGUCGAGAGGGAGAAGGAGAAGGAGAACGUGGAGGACAGGGACUACUCGGGUACGGCGCGGCGCCCGGCCCCCAUCCCCCGUUCCCCGGCACCGCGAGCGAGUCCCGCGGCGCUCUG
Molecule: long non-coding RNA, 1020 nt
Filed under: Apteryx haastii (Great spotted kiwi)
Lineage: Eukaryota; Metazoa; Chordata; Aves; Apterygiformes; Apterygidae
Description: lncRNA (ENSAHAG00000009137.1)
Source: RNAcentral